CUCUGUGCAUGUCCUGGCGCGACUUUAACUCUAGCAAGCGGUCACCUGUACCAACUAGGACCAAUCCUCAUCUCAUCCUCCGCCCUCAUCUCAUCCAUGCCCCAGCCGUCCCCCGCCCAGCUACUCCUCCGGCCGCCAUGAUAUUCCGCCCAACCUCCACCGUCUGAUGUGCUUCUCCGUCCAACCUCCAAGCGAGCUCCUCUAGCCGCCAUAUGCUCCUCUGCCUCCUGCACCCAAGCUCCAUGGCAGCGAGCUCCACCGGUCACGCGCCAGCGCAAAGGUAGCGAGCUCCUCUGGCCGCCACCGUGUAGUUCGCCUGCCCGAGCAACAAGGUUGCGAGCUUCCCCAGCCAAGAAAACAAGUGCCGUGAUAAGUGCGAGUCAUUGAUGAAAUCUGGCGGAGCAGAUCUCAGCUGGCUUCUAGUAGAAGCCUUCGAGUAGCUAUCCCAGAAGGUUGGUUCCGGCUCGAUGCCUCACCUACAGAUGUGAGGUUGCAAUUUCUGAAGUGGGAGAACCAGAAAAGAUCUCGCUGGGAGAGCAGCACCACCACCGCGCGUGCUCGUGGCACAUUACAGAAUGGCCCUGGCGCCCAAGAGUUCCAGCAGCCAUUUCUUCCACUGGUGUCGCCGUCCUCCAUCGACUUGACGUCGGGCGAGACACACCGUCCCGCCGAGAAUCGGAGGAGACGACGCAGCGCGUCCGCAGCGUUCGGCUCUCCUUCUGCGAAAAGCUCCUGGAGCGAUUAGCUAGCGACGUUCAUGGACACCCUGUGCCCAUCAGCAGGUUGGUCAGGUUCACUGCUUCACAUGUCAAGUGGAUGAGGCAGUAUUGAACAUUUUUGUAAGUAAAGUCGCUGCAUCUUUUCUCUCCGUCAUUGCCUGUGGUAAAAUGAACGUGUAAUUAUUUCUUUCAAUCCAAAUGGUUCAGCAGUGAAAACAUGUACUGCAUGUAGGAGUAUUUUAUUUGGCUCAUGACAUUGUCCAGACCUCGAUGACUAAGUGAUAAACUAAGUGUGUUUUUAAGA
Molecule: long non-coding RNA, 1023 nt
Organism: Lolium rigidum
Lineage: Eukaryota; Viridiplantae; Streptophyta; Magnoliopsida; Poales; Poaceae
Exons: 2
Source: RefSeq, a predicted model, not a curated record